RNAcentral lists this ribosomal RNA (762 nucleotides) under Salmonella enterica subsp. enterica serovar Typhimurium var. 5-. RNAcentral describes it as "bacterial LSU rRNA". It matches the Rfam family "Bacterial large subunit ribosomal RNA", at positions 450 to 1211 of the family's 2925-position model. Lineage: Bacteria; Pseudomonadati; Pseudomonadota; Gammaproteobacteria; Enterobacterales; Enterobacteriaceae. The record is from RNAcentral.
GGACCAUCCUCCAAGGCUAAAUACUCCUGACUGACCGAUAGUGAACCAGUACCGUGAGGGAAAGGCGAAAAGAACCCCGGCGAGGGGAGUGAAAAAGAACCUGAAACCGUGUACGUACAAGCAGUGGGAGCACAGGUUUACCUGUGUGACUGCGUACCUUUUGUAUAAUGGGUCAGCGACUUAUAUUCUGUAGCAAGGUUAACCGUAUAGGGGAGCCGGAGGGAAACCGAGUCUUAACCGGGCGUUAAGUUGCAGGGUAUAGACCCGAAACCCGGUGAUCUAGCCAUGGGCAGGUUGAAGGUUGGGUAACACUAACUGGAGGACCGAACCGACUAAUGUUGAAAAAUUAGCGGAUGACCUGUGGCUGGGGGUGAAAGGCCAAUCAAACCGGGAGAUAGCUGGUUCUCCCCGAAAGCUAUUUAGGUAGCGCCUCGUGAAUUCAUCUCCGGGGGUAGAGCACUGUUUCGGCUAGGGGGCCAUCCCGGCUUACCAACCCGAUGCAAACUGCGAAUACCGGAGAAUGUUAUCACGGGAGACACACGGCGGGUGCUAACGUCCGUCGUGAAGAGGGAAACAACCCAGACCGCCAGCUAAGGUCCCAAAGUCAUGGUUAAGUGGGAAACGAUGUGGGAAGGCCCAGACAGCCAGGAUGUUGGCUUAGAAGCAGCCAUCAUUUAAAGAAAGCGUAAUAGCUCACUGGUCGAGUCGGCCUGCGCGGAAGAUGUAACGGGGCUAAACCAUGCACCGAAGCUGCGGCAGCGA